RNAcentral lists this ribosomal RNA (464 nucleotides) under uncultured bacterium. Its description in RNAcentral is "partial 16S ribosomal RNA". It matches the Rfam family "Bacterial small subunit ribosomal RNA", at positions 339 to 795 of the family's 1533-position model. The record is from RNAcentral.
CUACGGGAGGCUGCAGUGGGGAAUAUUGCACAAUGGGCGCAAGCCUGAUGCAGCCAUGCCGCGUGUAUGAAGAAGGCCUUCGGGUUGUAAAGUACUUUCAGCGGGGAGGAAGGGAGUAAAGUUAAUACCUUUGCUCAUUGACGUUACCCGCAGAAGAAGCACCGGCUAACUCCGUGCCAGCAGCCGCGGUAAUACGGAGGGUGCAAGCGUUAAUCGGAAUUACUGGGCGUAAAGCGCACGCAGGCGGUUUGUUAAGUCAGAUGUGAAAUCCCCGGGCUCAACCUGGGGACGGCAUCUGAUACUGGCAAGCUUGAGUCUCGUAGAGGGGGGUAGAAUUCCAGGUGUAGCGGUGAAAUGCGUAGAGAUCUGGAGGAAUACCGGUGGCGAAGGCGGCCCCCUGGACGAAGACUGACGCUCGGGUGCGAAAGCGUGGGGAGCAAACAGGAUUAGAUACCCCGGUAGUC